This 497-nucleotide ribosomal RNA is filed under the name uncultured bacterium. Its description in RNAcentral is "partial 16S ribosomal RNA". It matches the Rfam family "Bacterial small subunit ribosomal RNA", at positions 28 to 507 of the family's 1533-position model. The record is from RNAcentral.
GACGAACGCUGGCGGCGUGCCUAAUACAUGCAAGUUGAGCGCUGAAGGUUGGUCCUUGUACCAACUGGAUGAGCAGCGAACGGGUGAGUAACGCGUGGGGAAUCUGCCUUUGAGCGGGGGACAACAUUUGGAAACGAAUGCUAAUACCGCAUAAAAACUUUAAACACAAGUUUUAAGUUUGAAAGAUGCAAUUGCAUCACUCAAAGAUGAUCCCGCGUUGUAUUAGCUAGUUGGUGAGGUAAAGGCUCACCAAGGCGAUGAUACAUAGCCGACCUGAGAGGGUGAUCGGCCACAUUGGGACUGAGACACGGCCCAAACUCCUACGGGAGGCAGCAGUAGGGGAUCUUCGGCAAUAGACGAAAGUCUGACCGAGCAACGCCGCGUGAGUGAAGAAGGUUUUCGGAUCGUAAAACUCUGUUGGUAGAGAAGAACGUUGGUGAGAGUGGAAAGCUCAUCAAGUGACGGUAACUACCCAGAAAGGGACGGCUAACUACGUG